ACCAAACUGAUGAGUCCCAAAUAGGGCAAAACGAGCGUCCUGGAU
This 45-nucleotide non-coding RNA is filed under the name Schistosoma mattheei. Lineage: Eukaryota; Metazoa; Platyhelminthes; Trematoda; Strigeidida; Schistosomatidae. The record is from RNAcentral.